GCGAGUGUAGUUCAGCGGUAGAACGUUUGCCUUCCAAGCAAAAUGUCAUGGGUUCGAUUCCCAUCACUCGCU
RNAcentral lists this transfer RNA (72 nucleotides) under Anaerolineae bacterium. RNAcentral describes it as "tRNA-Gly". It matches the Rfam family "tRNA". From Rfam's summary of the family: Transfer RNA (tRNA) molecules are approximately 80 nucleotides in length. Their secondary structure includes four short double-helical elements and three loops (D, anti-codon, and T loops). Lineage: Bacteria; Bacillati; Chloroflexota; Anaerolineae. The record is from RNAcentral.